CAGUCGCCACGGGAAUACAGAGGGUGCGAGCGUUAAUCGGAUUUACUGGGCGUAAAGCGUGCGUAGGCGGCUUCCUAAGUCGGAUGUGAAAUCCCUGAGCUUAACUUAGGAAUUGCAUUCGAUACUGGGAAGCUAGAGUAUGGGAGAGGAUGGUAGAAUUCCAGGUGUAGCGGUGAAAUGCGUAGAGAUCUGGAGGAAUACCAAUGGCGAAGGCAGCCAUCUGGCCUAAUACUGACGCUGAGGUACGAAAGCAUGGGGAGCAAACAGGAUUAGAUACCCCAGUAGUCCCUGUCUCUUAUAC
This 301-nucleotide ribosomal RNA is filed under the name uncultured bacterium. RNAcentral describes it as "partial 16S ribosomal RNA". It matches the Rfam family "Bacterial small subunit ribosomal RNA", at positions 509 to 807 of the family's 1533-position model. The record is from RNAcentral.